AGACGUCAUCCCCACCUUCCACCUUUCCAUCAAGUUCCCCACCGAUCUUGGGGUUAGCAUAGUGAGGGGAGAGCAGAUCGUGGCCAGCGAAUGUUCUGUUGCCUCACUUAAAGAAGUCAAGCUAAAGGAGGCUAUGAUCAUUGAAGGACCUGACGUCAGAGACGAGGACGAGCUGGUUAGGGGGGAACCAGUGGAAGAACUUGUCGAGGUCCUCAUCGAUCCCACCAACCCAUCAAAAACUGCCAAGAUCGGCAGCCAACUUUCCGCCCAGGCUAAGGCCGACCUUACUGCCUUCCUAAUCGAACAUAACGAUGUAUUUGCCUAGACCCACUCAGACAUGCCGGGUAUCUAAUCCUGUUA
This 360-nucleotide unclassified non-coding RNA is filed under the name uncultured fungus. RNAcentral describes it as "sequence contains ITS1". Lineage: Eukaryota; Fungi. The record is from RNAcentral.